UGGCUCAGGACGAACGCUGGCGGCGUGCUUAACACAUGCAAGUCGAACGCUGAAGCUUGGUGCUUGCACUGGGUGGAUGAGUGGCGAACGGGUGAGUAAUACGUGAGUAACCUGCCCUUGACUCUGGGAUAAGCCUGGGAAACUGGGUCUAAUACUGGAUACGACAUGUCACCGCAUGGUGGUGUGUGGAAAGGGUUUUACUGGUUUUGGAUGGGCUCACGGCCUAUCAGCUUGUUGGUGGGGUAAUGGCUCACCAAGGCGACGACGGGUAGCCGGCCUGAGAGGGUGACCGGCCACACUGGGACUGAGACACGGCCCAGACUCCUACGGGAGGCAGCAGUGGGGAAUAUUGCACAAUGGGCGGAAGCCUGAUGCAGCGACGCCGCGUGAGGGAUGACGGCCUUCGGGUUGUAAACCUCUUUCAGCACGGAAGAAGCGAAAGUGACGGUACGUGCAGAAGAAGCGCCGGCUAACUACGUGCCAGCAGCCGCGGUAAUACGUAGGGCGCAAGCGUUGUCCGGAAUUAUUGGGCGUAAAGAGCUCGUAGGCGGUUUGUCGCGUCUGCUGUGAAAGCCCGGGGCUUAACCCCGGGUGUGCAGUGGGUACGGGCAGACUUGAGUGCAGUAGGGGAGACUGGAAUUCCUGGUGUAGCGGUGAAAUGCGCAGAUAUCAGGAGGAACACCGAUGGCGAAGGCAGGUCUCUGGGCUGUUACUGACGCUGAGGAGCGAAAGCAUGGGGAGCGAACAGGAUUAGAUACCCUGGUAGUCCAUGCCGUAAACGUUGGGCACUAGGUGUGGGGAACAUUCCACGUUUUCCGCGCCG
Molecule: ribosomal RNA, 823 nt
Filed under: Kocuria rhizophila
Lineage: Bacteria; Bacillati; Actinomycetota; Actinomycetes; Micrococcales; Micrococcaceae
Description: bacterial SSU rRNA
Rfam family: Bacterial small subunit ribosomal RNA
Source: RNAcentral